GCUACACAUGCAGUCGAGCGGAACGAUGAUAGCUUGCUAUCAGGCGUCGAGCGGCGGACGGGUGAGUAAUACUUAGGAAUCUACCUAGUAGUGGGGGAUAGCACGGGGAAACUCGUAUUAAUACCGCAUACGUCCUACGGGAGAAAGGGGGCAACUUGUUGCUCUCGCUAUUAGAUGAGCCUAAGUCGGAUUAGCUAGAUGGUGGGGUAAAGGCCUACCAUGGCGACGAUCUGUAGCUGGUCUGAGAGGAUGAUCAGCCACACCGGGACUGAGACACGGCCCGGACUCCUACGGGAGGCAGCAGUGGGGAAUAUUGGACAAUGGGGGAAACCCUGAUCCAGCCAUGCCGCGUGUGUGAAGAAGGCCUUUUGGUUGUAAAGCACUUUAAGCAGUGAAGAAGACUCUUCGGUUAAUACCCGGAGACGAUGACAUUAGCUGCAGAAUAAGCACCGGCUAACUCUGUGCCAGCAGCCGCGGUAAUACAGAGGGUGCAAGCGUUAAUCGGAAUUACUGGGCGUAAAGCGAGCGUAGGUGGCUUGAUAAGUCAGAUGUGAAAUCCGGGCUUAACCUGGACUGCAUCUGAACUGUUAGGCUAGAG
This 598-nucleotide ribosomal RNA is filed under the name bacterium fme08x96p565. RNAcentral's name for it is "bacterial SSU rRNA". It matches the Rfam family "Bacterial small subunit ribosomal RNA", at positions 48 to 646 of the family's 1533-position model. The record is from RNAcentral.